UUUACGCACAAACCAAACACAACUUUGGAUACGAUGUUUUUAGUCCAUCUGAGACAAAAUGUGUAUAUGGUUUCCAUAGUUUGCAUUAAAAAACAUUGUGAUUAUUUCAGGUAGCAGUGGCUUUCCAGAGUUGACAGUAGGCUUCAGACGACUAGAGGCAGAGAGGCGCACAGGUUUACAUAGCCCGCUGUCUCAAAGCAAUGCUAGUGAAAAGCUACCGAUUGCAUCAACUCUGACUUGAUUCCCUUUUGAUUUCUUGUAUUAGGAAAUGAGAAUGUCGACCAUUAGACCACUGAAAGCCUCCAGCUUGUUGACCAAAGCGAAUGUGUCAGAAAUGUAGAGGCGCUAUGCGGAGGCUGCUGUGUCUACUGAGAGGGGCAUUUUCGUUACGAGUGUGCAGAGCGUGUGACACUGAUGGAUGCGCCAAUGGUUAGACGGACAGAUGCUUGGGCGGAUCUAACCGCAUGCAGUGGUGUAGCGGUAUACGCAGCGACAUUAGGCUAAAACAUCCCGAAUCAGUGAAAGACUGCUCUUUCUCAUCCCUCAACAAGCCAGGCGAACCGAGAGGAGAUCUUGUUCCUAUCGAGCGACUCCUCUGCCACUAACAAGGGUUUGAUCCCCUCUGCGGUCAGAUAUUUCUGACUAUUGACUAGCGUGAGACUGGGAAACCACAACACGUCAGAGACAAGGACACACACAUCUGGCAGAAGAAAAAAUCAUUUGACAACUUACCGUAUUCUGGUUAGCGAGAAAAUAAUUUGCAUCCACAGUCAUUACCUUUCCAGCAGACAGCGGACCAAUUGUAUUCUAUCUUGAAGAUGAUCUGAAAAAGAUGGACAAUUUAUCCACUUUCCCCCUAAAUAAUACAGAAAUGUCUCUAAACAAGGAGAACGCAUGAUACGGAUUUUGUGCCUGACUCACUUGAGCAGAAGAAGGCAUCUUGCAGGAAGGAAGACUCGUCUGAUUCGCUGUUGCUGUUUUAAAUACCUACUAUCAGCCACACAAAGAAGGGGAAAAAGUGCUAUUAGCAGCCAAGAAAGUGUUUGGCAAUAGCUGCUGAUCCAUGCUCUCAGAGCAGCUGAGGCACAGCACGAGUCCAUCCCCUCCUUCUGAUGUACAUUAUUACAACAAGGGAUACCCAAUCAAGCACGUAUCUCAUCGAUUCGAACUGCUCUCAGUGGAUUUUGAACGCGCUUGGACAAAAUAACGGAGCGAGCCAGCGUGUGGGCGACUAGUCGGUCCAUCUCUUCUUUCAACCUUUGUCUUUACCUCUCUAUCUUAAAAACAAUAUAUAUAGUUGUUGAUGUUUUAAAGGGACUUGGAAACGCUGGAAUUUUCAUACGAUGGCUACAGCGACGCUGAGACGCUGCCUUGCUGUUUUUUAAAUUGCAUGUGAUUACUGGAAUCCUCAUGGAUAACGCAGUUAAUCAACCGAUUGACUUGCCUGUUGCAGCCUCCAACACGGAGUGAGAAUCACAUUGAGGCUGAAUAUUUUUUUCCCCACCACUGUACUCUCCGUCUCCACACUGUGAUAUCGAAGUCGAACAGGAGAAAGAAAAGAAACGCUUGUUCCUCUUCAUCUUCAGAUCUACCCUUUCUUCAAUGUCUGCAUUUUUGUUUGAAAACUGCCGAUCUAUGUCAGCCCUCUGAAA
Coregonus clupeaformis (lake whitefish) is the source of this 1652-nucleotide long non-coding RNA. RefSeq lists it as uncharacterized. Lineage: Eukaryota; Metazoa; Chordata; Actinopteri; Salmoniformes; Salmonidae. The record is from RefSeq and is a predicted model, not a curated record. The transcript is spliced from 3 exons.